AACAAAGUGGUUAUUUUCAGAUGAGUAGGAGGGCGUGGCGGCGUAUGGAAGCGUUCGUGCGAACGGGCGUGAAACGGCCGCUAGUGCAGAUCUUGGUGGUAGUAGCAAAUAUUCAAGUGAGAUCCUUGAAGGACGAAGCGGGGAAGGGUUCCACGCGAACAUUGAUUGGGCGUGGGUGAGUCGUUCCUAAGCCGAGUGGCCAUUGCUAAAUAACGGCGAAAGGGAAGCGGGUUGACAUUCCCGCACACGGAUGUGGAGGCGGCGACGCCUUAUUGGGGUGAUGACGUUGGCGGUGGCUCUGGGCAGAGUUUUCUUUUCUGUUUGACCGUCAGUGUGCGCUGUGUGGAAUCCGCUUGUCGGGAGAAACACGCGUGCACGGGCAUAGCGCCGGGGCUUUUCCGGCGUCCAGAUCGCCACCGACGACCCUUGAAAAAUCACUUACUGAACAUUUUUCUAGUUUUUUUUUAAAGACUAGGAUUUUGUAAAAUCCACGCCGUGGCGUACCGAUCACCGCAUCAGGUCCCCAAGGUGAACAGCCUCUGUCCAAUAUGAAAAAUGCAGGUAAGGGAAGUCGGCAAAUUAGACCCGUAACUUUGGGAAAAGGGUUGGCUCUAGUGCUGCGUGGGAGUGGUUGUCGUAUGUCAACGGUGUGUGGCGGGCGUUCUGCUGCGGUAAAAGUUUUUUUUUCUUUUCUUUUAAUUUUUGCAUUUAUUUGUGAAUUUUAAAAGGAGGGGGGGAAGAAUUUUUAUUGUGGCGGAAUGCUUUUUUUUGCUCGCACUGUUGCGUGCGACGACGCCCACAGCAUGCAGCAGACUAGAACUGCAACGGGCAAAGGGAA
This 838-nucleotide ribosomal RNA is filed under the name Corallophila eatoniana. Its description in RNAcentral is "partial large subunit ribosomal RNA". It matches the Rfam family "Eukaryotic large subunit ribosomal RNA", at positions 1359 to 2132 of the family's 3401-position model. The record is from RNAcentral. Lineage: Eukaryota; Rhodophyta; Florideophyceae; Ceramiales; Ceramiaceae.